This 588-nucleotide ribosomal RNA is filed under the name uncultured bacterium. RNAcentral describes it as "partial 16S ribosomal RNA". It matches the Rfam family "Bacterial small subunit ribosomal RNA", at positions 355 to 1375 of the family's 1533-position model. The record is from RNAcentral.
UGGGGAAUUUUGGACAAUGGGCGAAAGCCUGAUCCAGCAAUGCCGCGUGUGUGAAGAAGGCCUUCGGGUUGUAAAGCGCUUUUGUCCGGAAAGAAAUCCUUGGCUCUAAUACAGUCGGGGGAAUGACGGUACCGGAAGAAUAAGCACCGGCUAACUACGUGCCAGCAGCCGCGGUAAUACGUAGGGUGCAAGCGUUAAUCGGAAUUACUGGGCGUAAAGCGUGCGCAGGCGGUUUGCUAAGACCGAUGUGAAAUCCCCGGGCUCAACCUGGGAACUGCAUUGGUGACUGGCAGGCUAGAGUAUGGCAGAGGGGGGUAGAAUUCCACGUGUAGCAGUGAAAUGCGUAGAGAUGUGGAGGAAUACCGAUGGCGAAGGCAGCCCCCUGGGCCAAUACUGACGCUCAUGCACGAAAGCGUGGGGAGCAAACAGGAUUAGAUACCCUGGUAGUCCACGCCCUAAAACGAUGUCAACUAGUUGUUGGGGGAUUCAUUUCCUUAGUAACGUAGCUAACGCGUGAAGUUGACCGCCUGGGGAGUACGGUCGCAAGAUUAAAACUCAAAUGAAUUGACGGGGUCAUAGCUGUUUCCU